This 399-nucleotide ribosomal RNA is filed under the name uncultured bacterium. RNAcentral describes it as "partial 16S ribosomal RNA". It matches the Rfam family "Bacterial small subunit ribosomal RNA", at positions 338 to 734 of the family's 1533-position model. The record is from RNAcentral.
CCUACGGGAGGCAGCAGUGAGGAAUAUUGGUCAAUGGGCGCAAGCCUGAACCAGCCAAGUAGCGUGCAGGAUGACGGCCCUACGGGUUGUAAACUGCUUUUAUACGGGAAUAACCUGCCUUACGUGUAGCGCUUUCCAUGUACCGUAUGAAUAAGGACCGGCUAAUUCCGUGCCAGCAGCCGCGGUAAUACGGAAGGUCCGGGCGUUAUCCGGAUUUAUUGGGUUUAAAGGGAGCGUAGGCCGCAUGUUAAGCCGGCUGGGAAAUGCCCGGGCUCAACCCGGGCAUUGCAGCGCGAACUGGCUGGCUUGAGUCCGCGGGAGGUAGGCGGAAUUCGUGGUGUAGCGGUGAAAUGCUUAGAUAUGACGAAGAACCCCGAUUGCGAAGGCAGCCUGCUGCAG